AUUAAAAUGAUGUUAGUGAAGAGAAUAUAAUACAACAUACGUGGCUAGAGUCAUUUGCCGCAUGAUUGGAACCUACCAGAUGAUCCACACUGGCGGCGGUUGUGCAUUGUGUAAUAUGUGUGCGCUUUUAUCCACGCCUAUUCUGCAUCCUCCUUAAUUCCCCGACGUGCCUGGCUGCGAGGUGUUGCGCCGAGGGACCCCAGACAGGAAAACAGUGUCAGGACACCUUGCCGGCCAGGUGCGACGCGGCGCUAAUUACAGUAUCACACGACCGCGACAACAACUACAACAACGCGACAACGACACGACAGCGCGAGGAACAGCAAGGCGCCAAAUAUGCGCAAAGACUUAACGCGCGCUGACGAGG
Scylla paramamosain (green mud crab) is the source of this 367-nucleotide long non-coding RNA. RefSeq lists it as uncharacterized. NCBI's taxonomy places the organism in Eukaryota, Metazoa, Arthropoda, Malacostraca, Decapoda, Portunidae. The record is from RefSeq and is a predicted model, not a curated record. The transcript is spliced from 4 exons.